Molecule: long non-coding RNA, 43835 nt
Filed under: Ananas comosus (pineapple)
Lineage: Eukaryota; Viridiplantae; Streptophyta; Magnoliopsida; Poales; Bromeliaceae
Description: long non-coding RNA (ACOM_LNC007759)
Source: RNAcentral
GACGACGCGGACGAUCUCAGAAGCAACUUCUCGGCGAUCCAGGCGGUGCUUCUCGACGCCGAGGAGCGGAGCAGCGCUGGGAAGGAGAGCCACGCUCUGCGCCACUGGCUGCGCAAACUGAAGGACGCCGCCUACGACGCCGACGACCUGCUGGACGAGAUCCGGACGGAAGCUGAAAAGGUACGUGGAUUUCUGUCCCGCGCUAAUCCGAUGCAUCUGAAGUUUAAGGUCAAGAUGGCACACAGGAUGAAAGAGCUCAGAGAAAAGAUUGGUAAGAUAGCGAAACAAAGAAAUGAUUUCGGUCUUGCCGAAGCUGGCCCUGUUCGGGAGGCUGAGUUCAAACGCCCUGAGACAUUCUCGGUCGUCAACGAAAAGACGAUAGUAGGGAGAGAUGGUGAUAAAGAGAAAAUUGUGAAGCUUCUCCUAGAGACUAACAGCGAUCACGACGUGUCGGUCAUUCCGAUCGUGGGAUUGGGGGGAUUGGGGAAGACGACGCUUGCUCAGCUGGCCUACAACGACGAGCGGGUUACGGGCCAGCAUUGCUUCGAUCUACGGGCGUGGGUUUGCGUGUCUACCGAUUUCGACAUGAAGACGAUCGCAAAGCCGGUGAUAUCUGCAGCCGGAGAGAAUUGUGCUCUUGAUAACUCAGAUGCCGUCGCCAGUUGCCUUGUCAGGAUCUUUAGCCAGAAGAGAUUUUUGCUGGUGCUGGACGAUGUAUGGAACGAAGAUCAGGAUAAGUGGGAGAAAUUUAAGGUUUUAUUCAAGGACGGCAAGAAGGGAAACAAAAUCUUAGUGACCACGCGGAACGAAAAGGUUGCCGAGAUAAUGAGAACAGUCGAACCGCACCGUGUGAAAGGCUUAUCAGAUGAUGAUUGUUGGACAUUGUUCAAAAGACGGGCAUUCAAGGAAGGGGAAGAGAAAGACUAUCCAAGCUUGGUCGAAAUCGGAAAGCAGACAGUAAAGAAGUGCGGCGGUGUGCCGUUAGCAGCGAACGCUUUAGGAAGUAUGAUGCGCUUUAAGAGCAGGACAGAGGAUGCAUGGUCCGCUAUUAGGGAUGACAAAAUGUGGAGUCUGAAAGAAAAGAAAACUAUUUUACCAUCAUUAAAAUUGAGCUACAUUCAGAUGCCGUCAUCUUUGAAGCAGUGCUUUGCUUAUUGCUCCAUAUUCCCCAAGGACUACGCAAUUAAUAAAGAUGACUUGAUCCGGCAAUGGAUUGCUUUAGGCUUCAUUUCAUCGCAUGAAACAUGGACUUCGAUGGAAGAUAUUGGGAAUGAGUACUUUAACGAUCUAGUAUGGAUGUCUUUCCUUCAAGACGACAUGGAGAACAAAUACAGAUACCGGAUGCAUGAUUUAGUGCACGACCUCGCACAGUCUGUAGCAAGAGAAGAAGUUGCUGCUAUAGUUGGAAAAGAGUCAACAGGGUUCCCGGAAGGUUGUCGCUAUGCAUCAAUACACAGUAGUUUCAUGCCACAGAUUCCAACCACAGUAGCGCAGAGGUUGCGUGCUCUUCAAUUUAGGAAAUCUGGUGCACUUAUUAUGGCUUUUUAUAGCGAGGCAAAAUGCUUACGCCUGUUGGAUUUACAUGGUUCCCAAAUAUCUAUGCUGCCAAGCUCAAUCGGUAAGUUGAAGCUCUUAAGAUACCUCAACCUUUCAUCGACAAAUAUACAAGAACUGCCUGAAUCAAUUACCAGCCUCUGCAACUUGCAAACCUUGAAUCUUUCAGGCUGCCACGAGAUCCGUACAUUACCCAAAUUUCUAGGAAGGCUUACGAAUUUGCGGAUUUUAGAUUUAGGAUAUUGCCAAUUUCAGACAAUACCAGACUCCAUUAGCAACCUUCAGAAUUUGUACGCACUAAAUUUGAGUUGGUGCUACAAGGUGAGAUUACUUGAACCUAUAUGUCACCUCAAAAACCUGCAUUACCUAGACCUAUCAAAUUUAAAAUCUUUGGUGGCAUUACCUGAAUCCAUUGGGAGCCUUCAAAACUUGUGUAUUCUAAAUCUUUCUGGGUGCAGUUCUCUAAUAUCAUUACCGUCAUCGUUAUAUGAUCUUCAGCAUUUAGAGGAACUAGACAUUAGUGGCUGUGGAGAAUUAUGUGAGCUGCCUAAAAUGAUCCAAAAGCUGACCAAACUAAAAGAAUUGUUAAACAACAAUUGCUCGGAAUUGAAGGGCAUGCCCCGAGGGAUCGGCAAGUUACUUAGCUUGCAGGAAUUGUCCGUUUUUGUCGUCGGCAAGCAAGACCGCGUUGAACAUUGUGCUAGCAUCUCUGAGCUAGAGCACCUUAAGCUUGUCGGCGAGCUGGAGAUCAAGGGUCUUGAAAAUGUAACGAGUCCGGUUGAUGCCAAGGCUGCAAAUUUGAUAGAGAAGAACCUGCGGUCUUUGAAGUUGGAAUGGAAUGUUUUAAGUGCGGAAGAAGGCAUGGAUACUGUACUACCGGCGGAAGAGAUAGAUACCGUGCUAGAAAAUCUUCAACCACAUCAAAAGCUAGAGAAUUUGGAAAUAGAAGGCUACGGAGGCAGGAAGUUUCCUAGCUGGAUGAUGAAUAGGAUUGGCUCGUACCUCCCAAAUCUCGUUAAAAUCAGACUUGAGAAUGUGCCCGGAUGCAGCUCACUCCCGCCGCUGGGGCAACUUCCUUUUGUUGAAGACCUAAUUAUACAAAAUAUGCCUGCAAUAACAAAUUUGGGUGUAGAUAAGUUCCCUGCGCUGACGAGACUUUUGUUGGGCUGCAUGCCUGGGCUGCGAGAAUGGGUGACGGUAUUGACGGUGGAUGACGAAGAAGGCAGGCGAGAGCGAGUUCCCAUUUUUUCGUGUCUCACUAACUUGUUGCUUAAAGAAUGUCCUCAAUUGAGACCGGAGCCUUGCCUCCCGCCAUCGGUUGAAUAUCUGACCAUUUCCCGAACAAGCAGCGAGAAUCUAUCUUUAAUUCUCGAACGUGCGACGCCACUUGAUGGCGGUGAUGCCGCUGUUUCACUCCAACCGCGACCAAAUAAGGGGCUGCAGAGUCUAGCAAUAGUAGGAUGUCAGCAGCUAACUUGUUUGCCCGAGAGCUUGCGAAGUCUCACGUCCCUCCACAUCCUGAGAAUACAGAAUUGCGAAGAUCUUGAGAGAAUUGAAGAUUGGCUUGGGGAGCUCUCCGACCUGCAGUCCUUGUUCAUCUAUUGGUGCAGCAGUCUCCGUUACUUGCCUGCCCACAAGAUGACCGCACUAAAGGAGUUAACUAUUUUUUGUUGCCCAUUAUUGUUCAAUGCAGCCGGACAAUUUGUCGACACCACUGUCGAUCACAUCAAAUAUGUCUCUGUUAAUGGAAGGUAAUUAAUUUAGAAAUCUGACUACUCUUUAAUUAAUUAGCUGGCUAGCACCUUAAUAUUCUAUUGUAGCUAGCAUAUAAACCUCUUUCUUUAAAUUUUUUUUUUUUUUUUUAAUCCAGAUGGAAAAACUUCCAUUAGCCCCGCCCCAUGUGGUUCAUUUGCUAUAAAAUAUUUCACUUUGCUAUUUUAUUGUUGUCUUUAUUUUGCCCAACUACUACCAAAGAAUAUUGAAGUGCUUAAAUUUAUGAAUUAUAGGAUACUAAAGUAGUAUAUUUUAUAAAUUUUAGCACUUUAGUACUUCACUUGAUGGCAAGUUCUUACAAUGAUACGAAGAAAAGAAAUAAUCACAAAAUUUUAAAGUAAAACUUACUAUUUAAAGUACAGGACGGUAAAGUAAAAACGCAUUGAAUUAUAGAGGGUCCAAAUUGAAGUUUUUCCUCACCGUAUAAACCUCUGGUAACAUACUUAUAGAUACACAUACUGCAACAUGAGUUACAAACCAUUUGCUAUUCACAAUCUCCAAUCCCCACCUUCUCGAGCAAUUGACCCACCAAUUUAUAUAUCUGUGCGAUUUUAUUUAAUUUAUAUUCUGAGUGAUUAUAAAUUUUAGAUUAGUUUUAUCCUACUCUUAGAUAAGUUUUAUCCUGUUCUUAUUUCUUCCUGUUUAGAUAUGCUAAAUUGCUAUUCAACAAAAUAUUUUGCUUGUACAAGUAGUUCAUAGAUUACAAGAGGCAAUUAUUUUUCCACAAAUUUUGCAGCAAUUGCAACUUUACUAAUUUGCACAAUUGAAACUAUAGCAGCUUGCCGUUGCACAAUUUAAAAGCCACAUUUCAAAAUCAACUACGUAAAAGUGCAGCUAAGAUAUUCUAAAACAUGGUUUGUUGCCAACAAAAAUUUACAAGCGCUCUUGCACGUAUAUAGACUAAUUAAUGAAAUUUUAACCUUCUCUUAAUUUGUAGCGAUUUGAGAUGCCGAAAAGUUUCUACUUGAAAGAUAUAUAGAAUUUACGAAGUAAUUAUUUUUGGUCAUAUUGCUGAUAUAUUAUUCGAGUCCUGGGAUAUUUUCUUUACAAAUUGAAAUAAGGUAUCUUAUAUAUAUCAUGCGUUAUUAGAAAGUCUAACCAUAGAUAGCAUCUCCAACCUGUGUAUAUAGAGGACCACUAGCUAGUUGGUUUUGAGAUUGUAUGAUGUACAUUAGGACUGGCGGGGUCAGGGUCUUUACUCAUAUAUAUUUAUUGUGAAAUGUAUGGUUGUAUAUUUGUAUGGAUAGUGGUCGUUGUUUAGUUUAGUUUUACAUAAAUAGCUCUGAUACUUUGUGUUUAGUUGUGAACUCUAGAAUCAUUAAUGUUGACUCUUUGAUUCCUUUAUUACUGCUUCUGUCUCGUUGGUCGCUUCGUGCGUAUAGGAGAAACUCUAUCGGUUGGGUGGGUCUGUUGACGUCCCCCUAGGCUUCUGCUAUGAAACUGGAGCGUGACAGAUUAAUGUGCUAAAAAAAGUUACCAUUUUGUGUUGUUAUGGUGCAGGAACUACCCAUAUGAGGAAGAAGGGAGCAGCUCGCCAGAGGAGGAGGAGAAGAAGAGUUGGACGAGUUGUUGGAGCAGAUCGAAUUGGCUAGCGAGGAGAGCAUAAGUAUAUGUACUUAUUAUUUGGAGGUAAAAAGAGAUUAUAUAUUAUCUAAACUAUCCCGUGCUUUUAAAGCGGGCAACUGGGCUUUAGGAAUUUCGAUUUUAAUUUGUAAACCUUAUAUAUGCUCAUUUUGAUAAAAGCAAUUUUCUUUGAAAGAUUUGUUAGAUUCUUUUAGAAUUUAGUCUCUUCCGUCAAAAACAAAGUGCAGAAUGUAUCAAAAAAUAAAAGAUAUUUUUUAAUCAAAUUUUAAAAUGUUUUAUUAAAAAACGUUAAGUAUCCUUUCGAAUUCUAUAAGGAACAUAAUAAACACGGCGGAAAGUUAGAGAGUAGAAUUAAAUUUUUUAAAGUUCAGUUAUUUAUCUCAAAGCGUAGUAUAGCUCAUGUAAGAAUCAUUCUCUUUUAGCUUAUUUGGUGAUCACUAUUCCCCUUUGAGAAGAGUUUUUUUUUUUUCCCUUUGUUUUGCCAAAAAUAAACAGAUUUUAUAUAUCUACAUGCAAUGGUGAGAGUUUUUAUUCAUGGACCUGUGGUCUUCUCUUUCAGGUUGGUGCUAUUUAGCGUGCCGGACAAGAAUCGUAGUGUGCUGUUGUCGGUUAUAUAAUAUAUAUUUGUGUUUUCGUGAUAUAAAUUUAGUUUCUGAAUGUACUAUUUUAUAAUUUGGAUUGAUUGUUUGUAAUUUUAACAUGUUAUGGGCUUGAAAAAGAUUGUUUGGUUUGAAUAAACAAAAUGUUGCUACUUUUUUCAUACGGAUAUUAGAGGGUACAGUAAUUUUUAAGUAAAUCUCAUGUAGAGUUUAUUACUAGUAUAUAUGUUUACUUUAAUUAGAACUUGUUUAAAAUCAGAUGAUGUUUUUUUGCAUGCAAGUUGGACCUAGUAUGUAUGUACCGCAGUUGAGAGGGUUAAUUUCCAUAUAUGUUUACUUUAAUUUAUCUUUUCUUUUAUUUGAUUAGAUCCGAAGCCGAUAAAUUUUAAAGUAUUAAAAGUUUUAUUAUUUCGCUUUCUGCAAGAUUUUUAGUUUUUAAAUUCCGCAAAUCUGAAUCGAUUUAUUAAUAAAAUCAAACUGAAUCAAUAGAAGUGGGUUGCUUUUCCAGUUUGGUUUUUACCAAACAUGUGGUUUAAAUGAAAAUAUAGAUAUAUAUUGCUGCAUUAUUUAAUUUGUUUGAGUUAAGUGAUCUCACUGCUCGUGCAAUAUCAAAUUUAGAUUAAUUAUUUAUUUUAAUAAAUUUAUAGCUUCAUAAAUUUAUAAAAUAUAGUAAUUAAACAUGUAAAGAUAAAUAAUACAUUUAAAAUUUAAAGCUAAAGAGAUAUUUGACUCGAAUCAAAUAAAUUAAAGAAUUGUAUAGCAAAAUUAAAACUCUUAAAGAUUAGAUAGUAAAAUUAAAAUAAGUGAUAGUUGUGGUAAGUUAUAUAAAUUUCUUAUUUUUUUAUUCAAGUAAUCGAGAAAAUUAAAGAGGUAGUUAAAUAUGAUUCGAACAAGUUAAAUAUGGAUAAAAAUUUGAAUGCAAUUUAGUAUAUGCAUGUUGCUACCACUUUCGCGGAUCGAAGUUUACGAACAAACCCUCAACCCUAAACCCAGGUGGUAUCUCCUAAUGCUAUUGAAAUUGUUUAGGUGACAAAUGUAAUAAAAAAAGGAGAUUGAUGGAUCAUUCUUGUACAAAUGAAAAGUGAUUAUGAGAUUUAGCUUUUAUUCUUCUUAUAUAUAUAUAUAUUUUGAGAGUAAGGUAGCAUACUAUCCGCUUCAUUCAUUGGAUCUUCUUAUAUAUUAUACUCAUUUAAAAGUAGUGUAAAUUUUAUACUCACAUAUUCAAAGAUUUAUAAAGUACUUUUAAAUUUUUAAUAUUAACAAAAAAAAUGAUAAAAUUAGUGCGAAAAUACUAGCCUUUGGAUGGAGUAGUGCUAUAAAAUAGGAUACAAUAAACUUUUAAUUAGCCCCCUAUAAAUUAGCAUAUUUUCACUUUUUUAAUAUGUGGUUGAAAAAACUUUUGCUUUGCCAUAUGGCCUUUGUUUUUUUUUUUUUUUUUUUUUUUUUUUUUUUUUUUUUUUUAUCACUAAACGGGCCUUCUGUUGAAGUGGUUGAUAAAAUAGUGCAACUUAUAAACCUAAAAUAUUAUAAUUUACAAACCAUAUGAUAUUAUAAUUUACAAUAAUAUUACUUUAUUAAGCUCUUUAAUGGUAAAUUAUUUUUUUGAGAAAAAGAUAGCAUGCUACCCGCUUCAUUCAUUAGGAAUAUGAACUAGGCUACAGGAAUGAGACAGCUACGGUCUCUGGGAGGCGGGAAAAAAAAAAAUCCACAGAUAGGACAAAAAUAAAACUAUGAGAUAGCAAAAUAAAACUUCUAAAUCACAGAAUUGCUAAAAAAAAAAAAAAAAGAUGCAGUAAAUCAUAGGAGGGGUUCAUUAAAGUUCAUACAAAAUAGAAACUCUAGCUUCGUGCAAUAAUUUCAUACUGUGAGGAGUAUACUCAAACUUCUAGAAUGGAUAAAAAUAUUUAGCCUAGAAAUCAUUUUUUUCCACGGAAAGAUAAAUUAUCUCACAAUAAAAUUUAUUAUUCAGCAAAAUAAUGAACAACAAUACCUUCUAAAGCUGAGAGAAAAAGGGGAAAAAAAAGAAAUUCAUGUUAAUGUCCAAACGGGAUAGAGACACCAAAGUACAAAUAGGUCAAAACCAGAGGACCAAAUUGAAGUUUUCACUCUGCUAUAAAAACCCAGCCCGUUUGAAACCCCCCACCCUGCAGCACCUUCUUCUUGUAUUCCCUCCAAAACUUCUCCCUCCCAGAUUCCCUGCUCCAGCGUCCAACCCCCAAAAUCAAUCAAGAAAUCGAAGAUGAGCGAAUCCUCGGCCUCCGCCGGUGAUGGCGACAGCGGAAAUGAGCUGUGGGCGCCGCCUUUUCCCGGGGAUAUCUUGCCCCGCAUCGUCGCGAGGCUGACCUGCGCCGAUCACGCCGCUCUCCGUGCCACCUGCAAAUCAUGGCGCACCAUCUUCUCCGCCAUCCCCCCCUCCCCCCAUCCCGGCCUGCUCCCCUUCCUCCUCCUCCCCCCACAUUUCGCCCUCCCUGAUCCUCUCUGCCUCAGCCAUCGUACCCCGCCCUAUACCCCGCCCCUUCCCGACUACCCUCUCGGCCCCAUCGUCCCCUUCCCCCGCCUCGGCCACAGCCAUUCCGAUUCCCCCUUCUUCCCCCUCGGCAGCCUCCGCAAUCCCACAUUCCGCCCGCUCCCCUCCCUCUCCGACACCACCCGCCACGUCUGCGUCGGCUGCUCCCACGGCUGGCUCAUCCUCCUCGGCCCCACCUCCCACAUCUCCCUCCUCAACCCCCUCACCGCCGCCACCAUCCCCCUCCCUCCCCCGCUCUCCUCCGUCCCCCUAUCCUUUCCCCUCUACGAUGAGAGGACCGUCGACCGCUACCUUCUCUUUCGGGGCGAUCCACCUCGCAGGCUCCGCCACCUCGCCGCCCUCGUCCGCCUCGCCGUCCUCUCUGCCGACCCCACCGACGACCCCUCCUCUUUCAUCCUCGUCCUCGUCCUCGGAAACACCAUCUCAGCCCGCGUCAUCACCUGCGGCCCGAGCGACGGCUACGCUGCGUGGAGGCACCAUACCUACAGGGGGUUCCCCGCCUACGGCGUGACCGACCUCAUCUUCCAUCACGGCCUCUGCUUCGCCGCCGUCAUGUGGCGCACCAUUGGCGACGUGGUGCUCGGCCCNNNNNNNNNNNNNNNNNNNNNNNNNNNNNNNNNNNNNNNNNNNNNNNNNNNNNNNNNNNNNNNNNNNNNNNNNNNNNNNNNNNNNNNNNNNNNNNNNNNNNNNNNNNNNNNNNNNNNNNNNNNNNNNNNNNNNNNNNNNNNNNNNNNNNNNNNNNNNNNNNNNNNNNNNNNNNNNNNNNNNNNNNNNNNNNNNNNNNNNNNNNNNNNNNNNNNNNNNNNNNNNNNNNNNNNNNNNNNNNNNNNNNNNNNNNNNNNNNNNNNNNNNNNNNNNNNNNNNNNNNNNNNNNNNNNNNNNNNNNNNNNNNNNNNNNNNNNNNNNNNNNNNNNNNNNNNNNNNNNNNNNNNNNNNNNNNNNNNNNNNNNNNNNNNNNNNNNNNNNNNNNNNNNNNNNNNNNNNNNNNNNNNNNNNNNNNNNNNNNNNNNNNNNNNNNNNNNNNNNNNNNNNNNNNNNNNNNNNNNNNNNNNNNNNNNNNNNNNNNNNNNNNNNNNNNNNNNNNNNNNNNNNNNNNNNNNNNNNNNNNNNNNNNNNNNNNNNNNNNNNNNNNNNNNNNNNNNNNNNNNNNNNNNNNNNNNNNNNNNNNNNNNNNNNNNNNNNNNNNNNNNNNNNNNNNNNNNNNNNNNNNNNNNNNNNNNNNNNNNNNNNNNNNNNNNNNNNNNNNNNNNNNNNNNNNNNNNNNNNNNNNNNNNNNNNNNNNNNNNNNNNNNNNNNNNNNNNNNNNNNNNNNNNNNNNNNNNNNNNNNNNNNNNNNNNNNNNNNNNNNNNNNNNNNNNNNNNNNNNNNNNNNNNNNNNNNNNNNNNNNNNNNNNNNNNNNNNNNNNNNNNNNNNNNNNNNNNNNNNNNNNNNNNNNNNNNNNNNNNNNNNNNNNNNNNNNNNNNNNNNNNNNNNNNNNNNNNNNNNNNNNNNNNNNNNNNNNNNNNNNNNNNNNNNNNNNNNNNNNNNNNNNNNNNNNNNNNNNNNNNNNNNNNNNNNNNNNNNNNNNNNNNNNNNNNNNNNNNNNNNNNNNNNNNNNNNNNNNNNNNNNNNNNNNNNNNNNNNNNNNNNNNNNNNNNNNNNNNNNNNNNNNNNNNNNNNNNNNNNNNNNNNNNNNNNNNNNNNNNNNNNNNNNNNNNNNNNNNNNNNNNNNNNNNNNNNNNNNNNNNNNNNNNNNNNNNNNNNNNNNNNNNNNNNNNNNNNNNNNNNNNNNNNNNNNNNNNNNNNNNNNNNNNNNNNNNNNNNNNNNNNNNNNNNNNNNNNNNNNNNNNNNNNNNNNNNNNNNNNNNNNNNNNNNNNNNNNNNNNNNNNNNNUUUCCGGUUAAUCCCGCACGAAGGACGGAAAUACGCCUUAGGACAGUGCCUCGCACGCUUCCAGAUCAAAUUAAUUUGAUAUUCUUCUUCCAUAAUUUUUUUUGGAAUUUAGCGAUUGUCGGUAAGUAGGUUUUAUUUAUUUAAUCACAAAAUUAGUUAGAUUUAGUCACAAUCGAAGUUCGUUGCGGUUUGUUCCCCAACAAUCUAAGGCGUACUUCCGAUUUGAUUGUGAUUUAAAUCUAACGAGUGCUAAUCCAAAGAAAAUAAAAUUGUGCAUGUUGUAUAUAAUUUGUUUGAUAACUUGCUUGUAUGAUUGACAUACAAAGUUAAUUUAAGUUGAUAUUAAAAAAAAAAUAAAUAAAAAAAAUAAUAAAAAAUCUUUCUACGGUAAAUUCCAGUGUGCGGUUUCAACUUGCUACAGUAAAAAAUUUUUUAAAAAGGAAGAACUUUGCUACAGUAUUUUAUUUUGCACUGUACGGCCCUUUUAUGCUUUCUGUACGGAUUGUUAAAAAAAAGCUUGCUACAGUAAAUUUUUUAGCUUUCCUGUGUGCGGUUUCAACUUGCUACAGUAAAAUUUUUUAAAAGGAAGAACUUUGCUACAGUAUUUUAUUUUGCACUGUACGGCCUUAUUAAUUAAAAAAAAAAAAAAAAAAAAAAAAAAAAANNNNNNNNNNNNNNNNNNNNNNNNNNNNNNNNNNNNNNNNNNNNNNNNNNNNNNNNNNNNNNNNNNNNNNNNNNNNNNNNNNNNNNNNNNNNNNNNNNNNNNNNNNNNNNNNNNNNNNNNNNNNNNNNNNNNNNNNNNNNNNNNNNNNNNNNNNNNNNNNNNNNNNNNNNNNNNNNNNNNNNNNNNNNNNNNNNNNNNNNNNNNNNNNNNNNNNNNNNNNNNNNNNNNNNNNNNNNNNNNNNNNNNNNNNNNNNNNNNNNNNNNNNNNNNNNNNNNNNNNNNNNNNNNNNNNNNNNNNNNNNNNNNNNNNNNNNNNNNNNNNNNNNNNNNNNNNNNNAAAAAAAAAAAAAAAAAAACAAUUGAGUUACUAUACUUAUGUUUCUUACUCUCCAAUUUGAUUCUGUAAUGAAGGCAUAGUGACUUUUGUGACCAGGAUUGAGGAAAGGGUUUAUUAUAAUGAUCCCUAGUUGAAUCCAAUUUCUAUGGCUAUACUCCUUUAUUAAGGACCUAUUAGGCCCCGCUAGGUAGGAGGAAUUCUACACUAUCAUACUUGCACCACGUCAUUAAUAAUAAGCCAAUUAUAUUCAUUUUUUUCAAACAAAAGUAUAAUAAAAAUAUUUUUUUACAAUCAUAAUGGGACAUAUACUCUUAAAAGGAGACAUUUGAUUGAUUUGUUACGCCAAGUCACUAAUACAUCUGUUACCUUCUAGAAUUUUUUGCUAGGUGGAUGGUGGAGUUUACUGUUUGAUGCUAAUAAUAGUUUAUUGCGGCAACACUAGUGCCCGUCCAAAUUCAAAAAUCCUUAACCCGAAGAUAGAAAUUUCCCCAACAAAGUAAGACCAAAGAAGGAGUAUUAUAUCGGUAAAUAAACCGCAUAAGUUGAUCAAAAUAUGUUAAACACUGCAUUUAACUUCGUUCCCUUAAUCUCCAAAAUUAGAUAUCAGCAUCUAAUUGCGCAUAGAUCUACUUCCGCAGGAACUACAUAACCAGAUGAUCGCAAUUAAAAAGAAACACGCUCGAAUCGAGUAAUCGAACCAAUCACCUGCACGAACAGCUCGAUCCCCCCUCGCCGCCCCCGGCAUCGUCUUCCUCCCGGCGACGGCGGGCGCGGCGGGGUAGCGGGGCAUGAGGAGAAGGACGACGGCGACGAGGAGGAGAGGGACGGAUCUGAAGCUAAUAUAUUUUGAAGUACUAAAAAUUUCAUUAGUUUGCUUUUCGCAAGAUUUUUAGUUUUUAAUUCCCCAAAUCCGAAAUCAAUUUAUUUACUAAAAUCAAACUGAAUCAGUCCAAGUGAGUUGCUUUUCCAGCUUAGUUUUUAUGAAACAUAUGGUUUUACCAUAAAUGGAAAUAUAGAUUUAUCUUGCCGCACAAUUUUGAUUUAAAUAAUUUGAUUAUUUUUUCAAUAUAAAAUUUAGAAUAAUUAUUUACUUAAUAAAUUUAUAUCUGUGUAAUUAAAAAUACAUUUAAAUUUUUAAAGCUAAAGAGUUAUUAGUUUAUUCAAAUCAAAUAAAUUAAAAAAUUAUGUAGCAAAAUUAAAAUUUUUAAAGAUUAGAUAAUCAGAUUAAAAUAAGUGACAGUUGAGGUCAGUUGUAUAAAUUUUUACUUUUUUAUUCGGGAAAUCUGAAAAAUUAGAAGAGGUAUUUAUUUCAAAAUAUGUUAAAUUUUUUGAUUUAUUGUCUAUUCUUUCUGAUUUGAGUUUCAUGAAAUUUUUGCUAACUAUAUACCCAGUGCUAUGUGCAGUAUGCCUUUUUCUCUUUUCUUUUUUUUUUUUUCAUUCUCCUUCAUUUGCAUUGUGACUGUAGAGUAUCCUACAUUGUAAAUUGAAAAUGAUUCCGGUUACUAAAGAGAAUAAAUAAUAUAAUUAUCUUAUACCAGAACAAACUCUUUACAAAAAAAUUUCACUUUGGCCCCUAAAAUUUAUAAUAUUUUAAUUUUUAAUGUAUCAUAGUUAGAAACUUUUGUGUAAUUUUCAAAAACUUGAGGGCGCCCAUGACCAUUGUUGGCCUCUCAAUAACUCUCCCCCGAUUCAGGACUAAGCAAAGCAUCCUAAAAGGACUUUGAUACAAGUAUGCUAGAUUGUUAAACAUAAAAAUAUAAAAAAAUCAUUCCGGCUUAAGUUUUUGAAAAAAAUAAUUAUUUUAUAUUAUUUAACAUUAUAUUAAAUCAAAAGAUUAUGAGUUCGAGUCACACCACGCUCCUAACCUAAUUGAUUUUUCUCUCAAUUAAUUUAAGUCCGCAUCAAACUCAGACAUAAAGAAGAGUAUUCAAUAUAAAAANAAAAUUUGAAAUUUCAAAGUUAAAAAUUUUAAAUUUAAAAAUAUAUAUUUAAAAUUUUAAAAAUUUAAAUUCAAAUAUAGUAAAAGAAUAAUAUGAUUAUUUUUUAUUUAUAAAACACACUAUCUUUCUUAUUCCAUCUUACCUAACCAAACGUUAUUUUUUUUAUUCCCAGGAAUAACCCAAUUUUCAUCCAAACACAAAAUUGAUUUAAUCCCCACUUAUACCUCAAUUUAUACCUAUCCCUGGAAUAGCCACUUUUUUCUUAUCCUCGAACCAAACGAUACCUUAAAAUAUUUUGCACAUCUACUGUUAGAUGGUAAUUUAUUGCUUAAACCUAAUAUACAUGUACUACAUAUUUGUAUACUUAUUUAUUGACUCUGUACUGUCAUGUUAUUUCUACAUUGCCGCUUGUAGAUUUACAAUCGUUUUUUUUUUUUUUUUUUAGAAAUUAGAGUGUUGAAUUGAAAGUAUGAGAUGAAAGAUGGGUUGAUGAAUUUGUGGUGCACAAACAUACCUGUAACAUUUUCCAAGGUAUUGCUUUAGAAGGUAUUACUGUUCAUUAUUUUGAGGAAUAAUGUAUUUUAUUAUGAGAUAAUUUGUCUUUCCAUGAAAAAAUUGAUUUUCUAGGCUAGAAGUUUGCUNUUCGAGUCACACCACGCUCCUAACCUAAUUGAUUUUUCUCUCAAUUAAUUUAAGUCCGCAUCAAACUCAGACAUAAAGAAGAGUAUUCAAUAUAAAAACAUAAAACAUUAUUAUCUAUCAGCUUAAAUAUUUAGAGAAAACAGUUAUUUCGCGUUGUUUAAUAUAGAUUGAAGCUAAAUGCACAGCUAAACAAGUAGGGUGGGCAAGUCCAUUAAAAAUCUCUAAAUGCUGCAUGUAAGUCCUCUAAAACUUGCAAUUUACCAGUAACAAAAAGAGAUGUACCACGUGCAGGAGUAUGUAACACUAGGGCGUUUGGAUUGAUGAAUUUGUAGAUUCAACGUAAGUCAAGUGUAAUGGUGUUUGAGUUUCCCUGAAGUGUGAUUAUUUUUCUGUUGUUUGUUUUGACGUAACUCGUACCACUGAAAGUUAAAUUCAAUCACUUCUNAAGGUAUUACUGUUCAUUAUUUUGAGGAAUAAUGUAUUUUAUUAUGAGAUAAUUUGUCUUUCCAUGAAAAAAUUGAUUUUCUAGGCUAGAAGUUUGCUUAUACUCCUCACAGUACGAAAUAAUUGCACAAAGCUAGAGUUUUUAUUUUGCACAAACUUCAAUUAACCCCUCCUAUGAUUUACUAUAUUUUUUUAAUUUUGCAAUCGUGCGACUUACAAGUUUUAUUUUGCUAUCCCAUAGUUUUAUCUUUGUUCUACCAUAACAAUUUGCCAUUAAAUAGAACAGUAAUGUAAGAUUAUUGUAAAUUAUAAUAAUAAUAUGGUUUAUAAAUUAUAAUAAUUUAGUUACAUGUGGUUUAUAAGUUACACUAUUUUAGCAAUCACUUCAACAGAAGGCCCUUAUAGUGAUAAAAAAAAAUAAAAAUUUAAAAACAAGGGCAAUAUGUCAAAGACAAAGUUUUUUUAACCACAUAUUAGAAAAGUGAAAAUAUGCUAAUUUAUAGGGGGCUAAUUAGAAGUUUAUUAUAUCCUAUUUUAUAGCGCUAUUCCAUCCAAAGGCCUACAUUUUAAAUAUGUGAGUAUAAGAUUUAUACUGUACUUUUAAGUGGGCAUAAUAUAUAUAAAGAAUAAAAGCUAAAUCUCAGAAUCUAUUCGCUGACUUAUCAUUCACAAUAUCAGUCAAAAUCACUUUUCAUUUGUGUAAGGGUGAUUCUUCAAUCUCUUUUUUUAUUACAUUUGUCAUCUAAACAAUGUCAAUAGUAUUAGAAGAUACCACCUGAGUUUAGGGUUGAGGGUUUGUUCGUAAACUUCGAUUGGCUAAAGUGGUAGCAACAUGCAUAUACUAAAUUGCGUUCAAAUUUUAUCCAUAUUUACCUUGUUCGAAUCNACAACAACAACAACACGCACACAAAAUAAAAACCCAUAUUUUUAUAUAUAUUAAUUAGACUUGAAACUAAUAAACUUUAAUUAAUAGAUUAUAAAUUUUAAAAUUUAAUUAAACUGAUGGAUAAGAAAUGGCGAAAUACUAAAACAGAAUGCUUUUUAGUGACGGAUGUGUACCACGUAGGUUUGUCCACACGUGAUCCCAAAAUAAGUAGGAAUUAUAGGAAAAAGUAAAAUAAGGUAGGUAAAUUAAGCAUACAUGUUUUUGGGUCGGGCAAACUUCGGACGUCGUGGACGAAGAGUGAGAGGUUUACGCUACUUGUCGUACUAAGUAGAGUUUCAUAAGAGGAUAGGCUUCUUCGCUGAUGUUACGAGAAUAGACUUUGAGAAAACCGGAAGAAUUUACAUACUCCAGUUAAAGAGCGUCGAGUUCGUAAAGUCUAGUAAAAACGUUGAAGGUGAUUUACGUUUCACUCCUCCUAGAGUAGAACACUUAAUCUAGAUCGUAGUUCCUAACUCAAGGGCAUGAAACAGAAAGCGAGGUUUACGCGUUUAAAAAAUUACAGUUGAAAAUGACAUCAUGCUUCACAAACAAUUAAACGAUCAAUUUAUACUAAGCUUGUUCCAUUUAUACCUAUUUUAAACUUGCGUUAAAUCAUAUACGUACAACGAUGGUGAAAUCGGUUAGCUUCAAAUGCUUGUUUGGGAGUUGGGAUUUGAGUCCACCAUAGAAGAUUAUGAUAACUGUAACAAAUCUACUGUUUACAUUAUUUUUUUCUCUAACUUCUUAGUGGGAACAACAACAACAACAACAUCAUGAUCUCUGCAGAGAGGGGUCUUUCUUUCUCAUGAAGAACAGGGCAUCUUCCGCACCAAGAUCCGAAUUUGGUUGAUUAAGAGAGGAAAUUUUGGGUCUCAAUAGAUAAAACAAAAACUUACUGCAUACAAUUGUGGAGCAAAGGAUUUUUUAAAAUAAAAAAAAAGGAGACAAAGCCUUAAUUAGCAAGAGAUGUUUAUGUAUGAAUUAACGAGUGCAUUUACGUAUGGUAACUUGGUAACUGUUAUACUUUCCUACCUGUAUUGUUUGGAUUCAUUAGUGAUAUUUGCAAUUUGUUAUGGAUUGAUGCAUUUAGCAGUGCAAUGUGUAUAUAUGCUUCAAAAGCGAGGUGUUUCAUCAAAAAAUUAAUCGAAUGGUUUAAGCUAUAGGUUUUAUGCCAAAAUAUUCAAAUAAAUGGUUCAAGUUAGGGGUUUUUUAAAAAAAAACAUUUGAAGUAUUGGAUGGAUCCUUACUUCAAUCUGAGCAGUUUUGGAGUUAACAGCUUGUUUUGGAUACUCUCUAAUACUGCUUUUCGAAAUAGAGUUGUUAUAGGUGCUACUGGUGUCGACCGAUAGUAGCUAGGUUAAAAAUUGAAACUGUUUCAAUCUUAAAACUUGUAAAUAAUAGUGUUUAAGAUUGUUUUUGGUUUCAUGUCAGCAUCUAUUUUGACAAAGCUGACUCUGUUUCCGGCUGAAUUUGUUUUGAAAUUGCUUCAGUUCGCCAUUUCAAUAUAAGCAACUGCUAAACUUGCAAAGACUCGUAAAGAUGGUAACAACAGCUGAAGUUAUUCUGAAUAAUCGCAUUUUUACAGAAGCUGUAUUUAUUUCAAGCAAAACAGUUUUGACAGAGCUAAAUUGGUCUCAAGCAAUCCGUAUCUACAAAUGCGGAAUUAGAAUUGCAGCAAAACCAAAAUGAUAAAUAUUUUUGCUUUUUGACGUAGAAUCAUUGGGCAUACAUUUCACAGUUGGAGAAAAAUUGCAUAAUAGUAAAGUCGCAAAAUCGUAAUGAGAAUUGGUUCACAAAUAAAAGAUAAUUUUAAUUUCUAAAAUUUCUCCUUCAUAAAGUUUUGAGUCAUCAUCCUACUCGCUUUCUUCAUUAAUUACCAUCGCUGCCAUCAUCAACAUGCAUCUUUGAUGCAUCAGGAUUUACCUGAAGUGAGUGAGCAAAAAAAGUCCUCCUUUAAUUAAGGGACCUUGCAAAAAAAAAGAAGAAAAAAACAAGAGGUCACCCUCCUCCUCAAACACCUUCAUCUUCAUUGCGUUUUUAUUCUUUUCCUCCUUUCCAGGCACGAGAGAGGAAAAAAAAAAAAAAAAAAAAAAACAACAACAACAAAGGGAGCAUGCUUUUCUGCCUCUUCAUCUGAAAAUGGACACCGAAAUAAAAAGAUCCAAAUAUUUUUAUAAAUUGUACAAUUAGGUAAAGAUUGAUCAUUGACCCAUGGGGUGUAUUUCACUGGUUAGGUUGAUGUGAUUAGUAAAAUACACUUUAUUUUUAUAAAUUGUACAAUUAGGUAAAGAUUGAUCAUUGACCCAUGGGGUGUAUUUCACCAGUUACAUUGAUGUUAUUAGUAAAAUACACUUUAUUUUUAAAUAGAUGGGGUGUAUAUUCUAUACCCAAUGAAUGUAUAAGUAAGAGUUUUCAAAAAAGAAAAAAAAGAAAAAAAAAAGGCAUUGGCGCGUGCGUUCUCUCGAAGCUCCUCUGGAACCAUCAGCNAAUAAAAAUUAAUAUAUUUUUCACCAAUGGGAGUCUAACGUAAAAAAAAAAAAGAAAAAGAAAAAGAAAAUGAUAGUAUAAAGAGGUGUAAAUUAAGAAAAUAAUUUUUUUAUGGCUAUUAAGAAAAUCAGUGCUAAUUAAAAAAGACAAUUUCGAAUUGUGGUGCAUUGCUGAAGGGGUCUCCAUACUUUUUUUUUUCCUUUUUUUUGGGGCAAUCAAAAUUUAUACAUAUCAAUUGCUCAAAUAUAAUAGUAUCUAAGAAUAAUAUCGUGGGGUGAAAAUCGUUUUGAUAUUACUCAAUCUAAUUGGACUCUGAAGCCAAAGAUUAUCGGAUUUGGAUUGAAAUUUUACUAUCCAUUACGGACUCAAAUUUAGAUUUAGAUCCGAAAUUUGAAAUUCUUUUGGGUUCAAAUUAAGAUUCACUAUUCCUUUUCCAAUUCGGAUUCAAAAUUAUUCGAAACAAAAACUGAUUUUGACUGCUUUUUUAAUUUCUUAAGUAAUGCCAUUUAAGCAUCUUUCAGAAAUCUCAAACAUCUUCAUUGCAUUUUCUUCACUUGGAAGAGAAAAUAAUAAUAAUAAUAAUAAUAAUAAUAAUAAUAAUAGUAAUAAUAAUAAUAAGUCCCUCCUUUUCCACCUUUUCAUUUGAAAAUGGACACUGAAACAACAAGAAAAAAUUUCUUCAAUACCCUUCCAAGUAGUUCUAAUUUUAUGAAUACCCUUCAAAAUUUUAAAAUUUUCAUACUUGCCCUCCAAAAGUAUGGAAAAGUUUCAAAAAUACUCUCACUGUCACUGUCAGUAAUCUGUUAUAUUAACUUCAAAAUACCAAUUUUACCCCCUAUUUUAAUUUAAUCACCACUCUCACAAUUUUUUUUUUGAAUAUAUGGAGACCCCUCAAUUACAACCCAUUAUGAAAUACCCUCCUAAAUUUAACUUUUUAAUUAAAGUCUUCUUAAAUUUUAUUUUCUUAAAUUGAAUGAUUUUUUUAUUAUUAAAUUAGAGAUUUUAUCUAAUCUAUUAAUGAUUCAAACAAAUUUAAUAAUUUUAAUAACUUCGUAGUAUAUAAAAUUAAAUAAGUUUCUGUUCAAAAAAGAAAAUUAAUAAAAACUUCAAAGAUUUACUUAAAUGACCUAUAGUUGAUAGUUUUAGUAUAAAUAUCAAAAAAUAAGUGAAAGAAGUUUGAUUUUUAAACAAAAGGGAAAACUUCAAAAAACCCCUCUGUGGUUUCGUAGUUUCUCACUUUGCUCCCCUGUAGUUUAAAAUGUAUCAAAUUGCCCCCAUAUGAUUUCGUUUUUAUCUUUUUGGUAGCUUUUUCGUUAAUAUUUCAUUAAAUUAUAUACAAAAAAAACUUCAGAUACCCAUCUAGAUUUAUCAAAUAUUCACUUUAGUACUCUUUAAAUUAACUUUAUCACUGAUUUAAGAAAAAAUAAUAAUAAAAUUGAUAAAAAAAAGAGAAAAAAGAAAUCACGGGGGGCAAAUUGAUACAUUUUAAACCACAGGGGGGCAAAGUGAGAAACUACGUAAAUACAGGGGGGUUUUUGAAGUUUUCUCUAAACAAAAAGUGAACAAAUUAAGGGCAAAAUGGUAAUUUCAUAUUUUGAAAUAAAAUAAAAAAAUGCUAUGUUGACGGAAGUUAGCAAAAAAUAACGGUGAGGCUAUUUAUGAAAGCAAUAUUAUAUUUAGAGGGGCAUUUGUGACAUUUUAAAAAUUCAAUGGGUGUUUAUGAUAUUUCAUAACUUUGUGAGGGUACAAAUGAAAUUAACCCAAACAACAAGAUCCAAAGAGCAAAUUUGAAACUGAUAAUAUUUUUAUAAUCUGUACAAUUGGAUAAAGAUUGAUCAUUGACCCAUGGGGUGUAUUUCACUAGUUACAUUGAUGUGAUUAAUUAGUAAAAUACACUUUAUUUAUUUUUAAAUAGGUGGGGUGUGUAUUCGAUACCCAAUGAAUGUAUGAGUAAGAGUUUUCUAAAAAAAAAAAAAAGAGGAGGAACAAAAAAAGCAUUGACGCGUGCGUUCCGGCCCCCACCAUAAUGAUUGGAGACACAGCACAAUAAUUGGAGCAAACAUCUUCCACUGGCGGAGAGCAUCCCCUUAUUAUCCUCUGCUUCUCUGUAGGAGGACGUUCGUAUUGAGAAGGAUUAGGCAGCAGCACGCGCGAUGGCGGAGGGGAUCGCAUUCGACUUGGUCAAAGGAGUGCUGGGCAAGCUGGGCUCCGCUCUCUGGGACGAAAUCGGGCUGCUGCGGAGCUUCAAGGACGACGCGGACGACCUCAGAAGCAACUUCUCGGCGAUACAGGCGGUGCUUCUCGACGCCGAGGAGCGAAGCAGCGCUGGGAAGGAGACCCACGCGCUGCGCGACUGGCUGCGCAAACUGAAGGACGCCGCCUACGACCUGCUGGACGAGAUCCGGACGCAACAGCAGUAUCCCGAGGUGCAGAAUCAUCAACACCAGCCAGCUGGAAAGGUACGUGGAUUUCUGUCCCGCGCUAAUCCGAUGCAUCUGAAGUUUAAGGUCAAGAUGGCGCACAGGAUGAAAGCGCUCCGAGAAAAGAUCGGUAAGAUCGCGAAACAGAGGCAUGAUUUCGGUCUUGCCGAAGCUGGCCCUGGUCGGCAGGCUGAGUUCAAACGCCCUGACACAUAUUCAGUCGUCGACGAAAAGACAAUAGUUGGGAGAGAUGGUGAUAAAGAGGAAAUUGUGAAGCUCCUGUUAGAGACGGGCGGCGAUCACGACGUGUCGGUCAUUCCGAUAGUGGGAUUGGGAGGAUUGGGGAAGACGACGCUCGCUCAGAUGGCCUUCAACGACGGGCGGGUUACGGAUCAGCAGUGCUUUGAUCUAUGGGUGUGGGUCUGCGUGUCUACUGAUUUCGACAUGAAGACGAUUGCAAAGCCGGUGAUAUCUGCAGCCGGAGAGAAUUGUGCUCUUGAUAACUCGGAUGCCGUCGCCAGUUGUCUUGUUAGGAUCUUUAGCCAGAAGAGAUUUUUGCUGGUGCUGGACGAUGUAUGGAACGAAGAUCAGGAAAAGUGGGAGAAUUUGAAGGUCUUAUUUAAGGACAGCAAGAAGGGAAGUAAAAUUUUAGUCACCACGCGGAGCAAGAAGGUUGCCACGAUAAUGAAAACAGUCGAACCACACCAUGUGAAAGUCUUAUCAGAUGAUGAUUGUUGGACAUUGUUCAAAAGACGGGCAUUCGAGAAAGGGGAAGAGAACGACUAUCCGAGUUUGGUGGAAAUUGGAAAGCAGAUAGUAGAGAAGUGUGGUGGCUUGCCUUUAGCAGCAAAUGCCUUAGGAAGUAUGAUGCGCUUUAAGAGGACAGAGAAUGAAUGGUCCGCUACUAGAGAUAGCGAAAUAUGGAGGUUGGAAGAAGGAACUAUUUUACCAUCAUUAAAAUUGAGCUACAUUCAGAUGCCGUCGGCUUUGAAGCAGUGCUUUGCUUACUGCUCCAUUUUCCCCAAAGACUAUGAGAUUGACAAGGAUGACUUGAUCCGGCAGUGGAUUGCUUUAGGCUUCAUUUCAUCGCAUGAAACAUGGACUUCGAUGGAAGAUAUCGGGAAUGAGUACUUUAACGAUCUAUUAUGGAUGUCUUUCCUUCAGGACGUGGAGGAGAAUUAUAGAGGGGUCACCUGCUGCCGGAUGCAUGAUUUAGUGCACGACCUCGCACAAUCUGUGGCAAAAGAAGAAGUUGCUGUUAUAAGUGCAGAAGAGUCAGCAAGGAUCCCAGAAGGUUGCCGCUAUGCAUCAAUACACAGUCGUUUCACGCCACAGGUUUCAAUUACCGUAAUGCAAAGGUUGCGAGCUCUUCAAUUUAGGGAAUCUGGUUCACCUAUUAUGACUCUUUAUAGCGAGGCAAAAUGGUUACGCCUGUUGGAUUUACAUGAUUCCAAAAUUUCUAUGUUGNAAAGCAUUGGCGCGUGCGUUCCGGCCCCCACCAUAAUUAUUGGAGACACAGCACAAUAAUUGGAGCAAUCAUCUUCCACUGGUGGAGGAGCAUCCCCUUAUCAUCCUCUGCUUCUCUGUAGUAGGACGUUCGUAUUGAGAAGGAUUAGGCAGCAGCACGCGCGCGCGAUGGCGGAGGGGAUCGCAUUCGAAUUGGUGACGGGAGUGCUGGGCAAGCUGGGCUCCGCUCUCGGGGACGAAAUCGGGCUGCUGCGGAGCUUCAAGGACGACGCGGACGACCUCCGAAGCAACUUCUCUGCGAUCCAGGCGGUGCUUCUCGACGCCGAGGAGCGAAGCAGCGCUGGGAAGGAGAGCCACGCUCUGCGCGACUGGCUGCGCAAACUGAAGGACGCCGCCUACGACGCCGACGACCUGCUGGACGAGAUCCGGACGCAACAGCAGUACCCCGAGGUGCAGAAUCAUCAACACCAGCCAGCUGGAAAGGUACGUGGAUUUCUGUCCCGCGCUAAUCCGAUGCAUCUGAAGUUUAAGGUCAAGAUGGCGCACAGGAUGAAAGCGCUCAGAGAAAAGAUCGGUAAGAUCGCGAAACAGAGGCAUGAUUUCGGUCUUGCCGAAGCUGGCCCUCUUGGACAGGCUGAGUUCAAGCGCCCUGAGACAUUCUCGGUCGUCGACGAAAAGACAAUAGUGGGGAGAGAUGGUGAUAAAGAGGAAAUUGUGAACCUUCUCCUAGAGACUAACAGCGAUCACGACGUGUCGGUCAUUCCGAUCGUGGGAUUGGGGGGAUUGGGGAAGACGACGCUUGCUCAGCUGGCCUACAACGACGAGCGGGUUACGGACGAGCUGGUUACGGGCCAGAAGCGCUUUGAUCUACGGGUGUGGGUCUGCGUGUCUACCGAUUUCCACAUGAAGACGAUUGCAAAGCCGGUGAUAUCUGCAGCUGGAGAAAAUUGUGCUCUUGAUAACUCGGAUGCCGUUGCCACUUGCCUUGUCAGGAUCUUUAGCCAGAAGAGAUUUUUGCUGGUGCUGGAUGAUGUAUGGAACGAAGAUCAGAAUAAGUGGAAGGAAUUGAAUGUUGUAUUUAAGAACAGCAAGAAGGGAAGUAAAGUCUUAGUGACCACGCGGAGCGAAAAGGUUGCCGAGAUAAUGAAAACAGUCAAACCGCACCGUGUGAAAGGCUUAUCAGAUGAUGAUUGUUGGACAUUGUUCAAAAGACGGGUAUUCGAUGAUGGGGAAGAGAACUACUAUCCGAGUUUGGUCGCAAUCGGAAAGCAGAUAGUUAAGAAGUGCGGCGGUGUGCCGUUAGCAGCAAAUGCUUUAGGAAGUAUGAUGCGCUUUAAGAGCAGGACAGAGGAUGCAUGGUCCGCUAUUAGAGAUAGCGAAAUUUGGAGUCUGAAAGAAGAGAAAACUAUUUUACCAUCGUUAAAGUUGAGCUACAUUCAGAUGCCGUCGGCUUUGAAGCAGUGCUUUUGUGACGCCCCAACUUCCCAGGAGGUCACCCAUCCUAGGACUACUCCCGUCCUAGCACGCUUAACUCUCUUAACCUCUUAGGCCUUGCUACCACCCAAAAUGCUUAAGCUGGGUUAAGAGUUUAGCCCUAUUAUAUCUUGUAUAUAGGACUACCCGGGGUCUCACAGCUUUGCUUACUGCUCCAUAUUCCCCAAAGACUAUGAGAUUGACAAGGAUGACUUGAUCCGGCAAUGGAUUGCUUUAGGCUUCAUUUCAUCGCAUGAAACAUGGACUUCGACGGAAGAUAUUGGGAAUGAGUACUUUAACAAUCUAUUAUGGAUGUCUUUCCUUCAAGACGUGAAGGAAAAUUAUAGAAAGGUUACCACCUGUCGGAUGCAUGAUUUAGUGCACGACCUCGCACAAUCUGUAGCAAGAGAAGAAGUUGCUGCUAUAGUUGGAAAAGAGUCAACAGGGUUCCCGGAAGGUUGUCGCUAUGCAUCAAUACACAGUAGUUUCAUGCCACAGAUUCCAACCACAGUAGUGCGGAGGUUGCGAGCUCUUCAAUUUAGGAAAUCUGGUUCACUUAUUAUGGAUUUUUAUAGCGAUGCAAAAUGCUUAUGCCUGUUGGAUUUACAUGGUUCCAAAAUUUCUAUGCUGCCAAGCUCAAUCGGUAAGUUGAAGCUCAUANUAAGAUACCUCAACCUUUCGAAGAACAGUAUACAAGAAUUGCCUGAAUCAACUACCAGCCUCUGCAACUUGCAAACCUUGAAUCUUUCACGCUGCCGCGAGAUCCGUACAUUACCCAAAUUUCUAGGAAGGCUUACGAAUUUGCGGAUUUUAGAUUUAGGAGGUUGCCUAUCUCUGACAAUACUGGACUCCAUUAGCAACCUUCAGAAUUUGUACACACUAGAUUUGAGUUGGUGCCAAAAGGUGAUAUCACUUGAACCUAUAUGUCACCUCAAAAACCUGCAUGACUUAAACCUAUCAUGUCUAAAAUCUUUGGUGGCAUUACCUGAAUCCAUUGGGAGCCUUCAAAACUUGCGUAUUCUGAACCUUUCUUGGUGCUAUUCCCUACUAUCAUUACCCUCAUCGUUAUGUCACCUCAAAAACCUGCAUAGGUGCUCUUCUCUAGAAUCGUUACCCUCAUCGUUAUGUCACCUCAAAAACCUGCAUCACUUAAACCUAUCGUGUCUAAAUUCUUUGGUGGCAUUACCUGAAUCCAUUGGGAGCCUUCAAAACUUGCAUAUUCUGAACGUUUCUGAAUGCUCGUCUCUAGAAUCAUUACCCUCAUCGUCAAGUGAUCUUCAGCAUUUAGAGAAACUCGACAUCCGUGAUUGUGGAAAAUUAUGUGAGCUGCCUAAAAUGAUCCAAAAGCUGACCAAACUUAGAGUCUUGUUAAACAACAAUUGCUCGGAAUUGAAGGGCAUGCCCCGAGGGAUCGGCAAGUUAGUUAGCUUGCAGGAAUUGUCCGUUUUUGUCGUCGGCAAGCAAGACCGCGUCGAACAUUGUGCCAGCAUCUCUGAGCUAGAGCACUUGAAGCUUGUCGGCCAGCUGCGGAUCAAGGGUCUCGAGAAUGUGACGAGUCCGGUUGAUGCCAAGGCUGCAAAUUUGAUAGAGAAGAACCUGCGGUCUUUGAAGUUGGAAUGGAACGUUUUAAGCGCAGAAGAAGCCGUGUUAGAAAAUCUUCAACCACAUCAAAAGCUAGAGAAUUUGGAAAUAGGAGGCUAUGGAGGCGGGAAGUUUCCUAGCUGGAUGAUGAACAGGAUUGGCUCGUGCCUCCCAAAUCUCGUUAAAAUCAAACUAGCGAAUAUGCCCGGAUGCAGCUCACUUCCGCAGCUGGGGCAACUUCCUUUUCUUGAAGAACUGACUAUACGAAACAUGCCCGCGGUAACAAAUUUGGGCGUAGAUAAGUUCCCUGCGCUGACGACACUUGAGUUGUCCUCCAUGCCGGAGCUGCGAGAAUGGGUGACUGUGUUGACGGUGGAUGACGAAGAAGGCAGGCGAGAGCGAGUUCCCAUUUUUCCGCGUCUCACUCAAUUGUGGCUUAAAGGAUGUCCUCAAUUGAGGCCGGAGCCUUGCGUCCCGCCAUCGGUUAAGUAUCUGACCAUUUCUAGAGCAAGCAAGGAGAAUCUAUCGUUGAUACUCGAACGCGCGAUGCCAUUUGGAGGCGGUGAUGCCGCCGUUUCACCCCAACCGCCACCAGAUAAGGGGCUGCGGGAUCUAGUAAUAAACGAAUGUCAGCAGCUUACCUGUUUGCCCGAGAGCUUGCGGGGUCUCACGUCCCUCCAGCGGCUGAGAAUAUCUGAUUGUGAAGAUCUUGAGAGAAUUGAAGAUUGGCUCGGGGAGCUCUCCGACCUGCAGUCCUUGGAGAUCUGGGAGUGCAGCAGUCUCCGUUACUUGCCUGCGCACAAGAUGACCACACUUCAGGAGUUAGAUAUUAACAAGUGCCCCCUGUUGUUCGAUGCGGACGGACGAUUUGUCGACACCAGUGUCGAUCACAUCAAAAAUGUCGAAGUUGAUGGGAGGUAAUUAAUUUGGAACUCUGACUACUCUUUAAUUAAUGAGCUAGCACCUUAAUAUUCUAUUGUAGCUAGCAUGAACAUCUCGGUUUUUUUUUUNCUCUGCAACUUGCAAGCCUUGAAUCUUUCAGGCUGCCGUGAGAUCCGUACAUUACCCAAAUUUCUAGGAAGGCUUACGAAUUUGCGGAUUUUAGAUUUAAGGGAUUGCCCAUCUCUGACAAUACCUGACUCCAUUAGCAACCUGCAGAAUUUGUAUGCACUAAAUUUGAGUUUGUGCAAAAACGUGAUAUCACUUGAACCUAUAUGUCACCUCAAAAACCUGCAUUACCUAGACCUAUCAUAUCUAGAUUCUUUGGUGGCAUUACCUGAAUCCAUUGGAAGCCUUCAAAAUUUGCGUGGUCUCAACCUUUCUAGCUGCUCUUCUCUAGAAUGGUUACCCUCAUCAUUAUGUCACCUCAAAAACCUGCAUCUCUUAAACCUAUCAAAUCUAGAAUCUUUGGUGGCAUUACCUGAAUGCAUUGGGAGCCUUCAAAACUUGCGUAUUUUGAGCCUUUUUGGCUGCUCUUCUCUAAAAUCAUUACCCUCAUCAUUAUGUGAUCUCAAAAACCUGCAUGACUUAAACCUAUCACGUCUAAAAUCUUUGGUGGCAUUACCUGAAUCCAUUGGGAGCCUUCAAAACUUGCGUAUUCUGAAUGUUUCUAAAUGCUAUUCUCUACUAUCGUUACCCUCAUCGUCAAGUGAUCUUCAGCAUUUAGAGAAACUCGACAUCAGUGGUUGUAAAAAAUUAUGUGAGCUGCCUAAAAUGAUCCGAAAGCUGACCAAACUUAGGGUCUUGUUAAACAACAAGUGCUCAGAAUUGAAGGGCAUGCCCCGAGGGAUCAGCAAGUUAGUUAGCUUGCAGGAAUUGUCCGUUUUUGUCGUCGGCAAGCAAGACCGCGUGGAACAUUGUGCCAGCAUCUCUGAGCUCGAGCACCUUAAGCUUGUCGGCGAGCUGGAGAUCAAGGGUCUUGAAAAUGUGACGAGUCCGGUUCAUGCCAAGGCUGCAAAUUUGAUAGAGAAGAACCUGCGGAAUUUGAAGUUGGAAUGGAAAGUUUUAAGUGCGGAAGAAGGCACGGAUAGUACUGUACUACCGGUGGAAGAGAUCGAAACCGUGCUUGAAAAUCUUCAACCACAUCAAAAGCUAGAGAAUUUGAAAAUAGAAGGCUAUGGAGGCGGGAAGUUUCCUAGCUGGAUGAUGAAUAGGAUUGGCUCGUGCCUCCCUAAUCUACUUCAAAUCGAACUAGCGGAUAUGCCCGGAUGCAGCUCACUUCCGCAGCUGGGGCAACUUCCUUUUCUUAAAGAACUAACUAUACGAAAUAUGCCCGCAGUAACAAAUUUGGGGGUAGAUAAGUUCCCUGCGCUGACGAGACUUGACUUGUCCUCCAUGCCGGUGCUGCGAGAAUGGGUGACUGUGUUGACGGUGGACGACGAAGAAGGCAGGCGAGAGCGAGUUCCCAUUUUUCCGCGUCUCACUGGAUUGUGGCUUAAAGAAUGUCCUCAGUUGAGGCCGGAGCCUUGCCUGCCGCCAUCGGUUUUGAUUAUGAUCAUUUCUAGAACAAGCAGCGAGAAUCUAUCGUUAAUUCUCGAACGCGCGACGCCAUUUGGUGAUGGUAAUGCCGCCGUUUCACACCAACCGCCACCAGAUAAGGGGCUGCAGGAUCUAGUAAUAAACGAAUGUCAGCAGCUAACUUGUUUGCCCGAGAGCUUGCGGGGUCUCACGUCCCUCCAGCGCCUGGACAUAUGGGGUUGCCAUGAUCUUGGGAGAAUUGAAGAUUGGCUCGGGGAGCUCUCCGACCUGCAGUCCUUGACCAUCUCGAAGUGCCGCAGUCUCCGUUACUUGCCUGCCCGCAAGAUGGCCGCACUUCAGAUGUUAUCUAUCGGGAAUUGCCCGCUGUUGUUCGAUGCAGACGGACAAUUUGUCGACACCAGUGUCGAUCACAUCAAAGAAGUCUAUGUUAAUGGAAGGUAAUUAAUUUGGAACUCUGACUACUCUUUAAUUAAUUAGCUGGCUAGCACCUAAAUAUUAAUUCUAUCGUAGCUAGCAUAAACAUCUCUUUUUCUUUUUCUUUUUUUUUUCUAAAUAUUCGGAUGGAAAACUUUCAAUUAGCCCCACCGCACCUGAUUCAGAGCAUUUUCGUUUGCUAUGAAAUAUUUCAUUUUGCUAUUUUAUAGUUUUGUUUUUAUUUUCUUGCAAAAAUCUUCUACAAGAAAGAAAAAAGAAACAAAUUAAAGUGCUAAAAUGUAUGAAUUAUAAGGCUGUCAAUUAAUUUAUUUUACAAACCACAUAGGGACUGUGUGAAAUAUAUAUAUAUAAUCAUUUUAGUAUUUUAUGGUUUAUAAAUUUAUCACUUUAAUACUCCACUUUAAUUACUUGAGAUUGGAUAUAAUCAUAGGAUUUUCAAGUAAAACUAUUUAAAACGUAGUGUGGCAAAAAGAAAACACAUUAAACUACAUUUCAAUAUCAAAAGUGCAAUUAAGAUAUUCGAAAACAUGGUUGGUUUUCUGGAAAAAUUUUCAAGUGGUCUCUUGCAUGUGCAUAGACUAAUUAAUGAAAUUUUAAUCUUUUCUUAAUUUGUAGCGAUUUGAGAUGCCAGAAAAUUUCUACUUGAACGAUAUAUAGUAUUUACAAAGUAAUUAUUUUCAGUGAUAUUGUUGAUAUACUAUUUGAGUCCUUGGAUAUUUUUUUUUACAAAUUGAAAUUAGGUAUCUUAUAUAUCAUACAUUAUUAAAAUGUCUAAGCAAAAUGUCCAGCACAUGUUGCACGAGCGUCGGAUAAAAAAUAACCAUUUUGUGUUGUUGUGUUGUAGUUCUUACCGGUACAAGAAACAAGCGAGCAGCUCACCACAGGAGGAAGAGAGCUCAGCGAAGGAGGAGAAGAAGAUUGGUUAGCGAGNGAAAAAUUUCUACUUGAACGAUAUAUAGUAUUUACAAAGUAACUAUUUUUGGUCAUAUUGUUGAUAUAUUAUUCAAGUCCUGGAAUAUUUUUCUUUAUAAAUUGAAAUCAGGUAUGUUAUAUAUCAUACGUUAUUAGAAAGUCUAAGCAAAAUGUGCAGCACAUAUAUACUGCACGAGCGUCGAAUAAAAAAGUAACUAUUUUGUGUUGUUGUGGUGUAGAAAAUACCCGUACAAGGAACAAGCGAGCAGCUCGCCACAUGUGGAAGAGAGCUCACCGAAGGAGGAGGAGGAGAAGAAGAUUGGUUAGCGAGGAGAGCAUAAGUAUAUGUACCUAUUAUUUGGAGGUAAAAAGAUAUUAGAUAUUAUCUAAACUAUACUGCACUUUGAAAGCGGCCAAUUGGGCUUUACGAAAUUCGAUUUUAAUUCGAUUUUGACAUAAGAAAUUUUCUUUGAAAGAUUUGUUAGAUCCUUUUAGAAUUUAGUCUCUUCCGUUAAACAAAGUGCAGAAUGUUUCAUAAAAUAACAAAAUAUUUUUUUUAUCAAAUUUUAAAAUAUUUUAUCAAAAAAUGUUAAGUAACCUUUCAAAUUCUCUAUGGAACAUAAUAAACACGGCGGAAAGUUAGAGAGUAGAAUUAAAUUUUUUAAAGUUCNAUAUAUAUAUAUAUAUAUAUAUAUAUAUAUAAUUGAGCCAGAAUACUGUUAAAAGAACCAACCCCUUGGUACUUUUGAGUUUCUAGCCCUUGGAUCUACUCCUUGAUUAUUAAUAAUCUUUGAAUCAAACACUAUUCCACCUACCACCACUUACCACCAUCAUCUCAACCCUACAUCUUUCCAUUCAAUAGCUAAAAACUCAAAAGCACCAAUCCCUUGGUGCUUUUGAGAGUAUUCUAGUUCAACUCUUCCUCUCUCUCUCUCUCUCUCUCUCUCUAUAUAUAUAUAUAUAUUAGUAUUUUAUGGUUUAUAAAUUUUAGCACUUUAGUACUCUACUCUACUUUAGAUAGGUUCUUAUGAUCGUAUAUAAUUAAAAAAAAAAUCCAUAGGAUUUUCAAGUAAAACUAUUUAAAACGUAUGGCGGCAAAAUGAAAACGGGUUAAACCACAUUUCAAUAUCAAAAGUGCAGUUAAGAUAUUCGAAAACAUGGUUGGUUUUCUGGAAAAAAAUUCAAGUGGUCUCUUGCAUGUACAUAGAGUAAUUAAUGAAAUUUUAACCUUUUCUUAAUUUGUAGCGAUUUGAGAUGCUGGAAAAUUUCUACUUGAACGAUAUAUAGUAUUUACAAAGUAAUUAUUUUCGGUCAUAUUGUUAAUACACUAUUCAAGUUCUGGGAUAUUUUUCUUUACAAAUUGAAAUCAGCUAUGUUAUAUAUCAUACGUUAUUAGAAAGUCUAACCAAAAUGUACAAUACAUAUAUGCUGCACGAGCGUCGGAUAAAAAAGUAAUCAUUUUGUGUUGUUGUGCUGUAGAAAAUACCCGUACAAGGAACAAGCGAGCAGCUCACCACAUGUGGAAAAGAGCUCACCGAAGGAGGAGAAGGAGAAGAAGAUUGGUUAGCGAGGAGAGCAUAAGUAUAUAUACCUAUUAUUUGGAGGUAAAAGGAUAUUAGAUAUUAUAUCUAUACUAUACUGCACUUUGAAAGUGGCCAAUUGGGCUUUAUGAAUUUUGAUAUUAAUUCGAUUUUAAUUCAAUUUUGAUAUAAGAAAUUUUCUUUGAAAGAUUUGUUAGAUCUUUUUAGAAUUUAGUCUCUUCCGUUAAACAAAGUGCAGAAUGUUUCAUAAAAUAAAAAAUAAUUUUUUAAUCAAAUUUUAAAAUAUUUUAUCAAAAAAUGUUAAGUAUCUCAAAGGACCAUAAUAAGCACUGCGGAAAGUUAGAGAGUAGAAUUAAAUUUUUUAAAGUUCAGUUAUUUAUCUCAAAGCGUAGUAUAGCUCACGUAAGAAUCAUUCUCUUUUAGCUUAUUUGGUGAUCACUAUUCCCCUUUGAGAAGAGUUUUCUUUUUCCCUUUGUUUUGCCAAAAAUAAACAAAUUUUAUAUAUCUACAUGCAAUGGUGACAGUUUUUAUUCAUAAACUUGUGGCCUUCUCUUUCAAGUUGGUGCUAUUUAGCUUUCCGGACAAGAAUUGUAGUGUGCUGUUGUCGGGUUAAUAUAUAUUUGUGUUUUCGUGAUAUAAAUUUAGUUUCGGAAUGUACUAUUUUAUAAUUUGGUUUGAUUGUUGGUAAUUUUAUGGUGUUCUCUAUAUAUGUUAUGGGCUUGAAAAAGAUUGUUUGGUUUGAAUAAACAAAAUGUUGCUACUUUUUUAAUACGGAUAUUAGAGGGUACAUUAAUUUUUAAGUAAAUCUCACGUAGAGUUUAUUACUAGCUAGUAUAUAUGCAUUGUGUUACGAACUUGUUUAAAAUCAGAUGCUGUUUUUGGCAUGCAAGUUGAAGCUAGUAUAUAUGUAUGUACCGCAGUUGAGAGGGUUAAUUUCCAUCUAUGUUUACUUUAAUUUAUCUUUUCUUUUAUUUGAUUAGAUCCGAAUUAAGCCGAUAAAUUUUAAAGUAUUAAAAGUUUUAUUAUUUUGCUUUCUGCAAGAUUUUUAGUUUUUAAAUUCNUGAAGUACUAAAAUUUUAUUAAUUUUCUUUUCGCAAGAUUUUUAGUUUUUAAUUCCCCAAAUUCGAAAUCAAUUUAUUACUAAAAUCAAACUUGAGGUGCUUUUCCCAUUUGGUUUUCACGAAACGUGUGGUUUAAAUGGGAAUAUAGAUUUAUGUUGCCGCACAAUUUAAUUUAUUUGAUUUAAGCGAUUUGAUUACUUUUUUAAUAUAAAAUUUAGAAUAAUUAUUUAUUUCAAUAAAUUUAUAUUUGCAUAAUUAAAAAUAUAUUUAAAAUUUUAAAGUCAAAGAGUCAUUAGUUGAUUUAAAUCAAAUAAAUUAAAAGAUUAUAUAGCAAAAUUAAAAUUUUUAAAGAUUAGAUAAUCAGAUUAAAAGAACUGACAGUCGGGGCGAGUUAUAUAAAUUUUUGACUUUUUUAUCCAAGAAAUCUGGAAAAUUAAAAGAGGUAUUUACUUCAAAAUAUGUUAAACUAUUAUUAUUAUUAUUAUUAUUAUUAUUUUACCAUAAAGCAUUUUCGAGAACCUAACAUUUGGGACCAACCGUAAAAAUAAUAAGAAAAAUUGUGCGAAAUUAACUGAAAAUUUAUUUUAUUGAAAAUCUCACCGUGAAUUUUUUUUUUUAUUGUCUAUUCUUUCUGAUUUGAGUUUGCUUUUCUUCUUCUUUUUUUUUGGGAAAAUGCAGUAUGCAUAAUUGAUCCUUGAUUUAUACUAUAGUUUCAGCUUAACAACUGGAAAAAAAAAUGCUAUAAAAAUUAAAUAUGUGGAUAAAAUAUUAAGGUAUCGCAUAAAUAUAACCGCAUAGUUCUUCAAUAACAAUUAAGCACAAUUUUAUAGCUUCGGACGAGAAAAGAUUAGAAGCAGUUUUAAAAUUUUUGGACCUUUCAAAAUAUGAAAAUGUUGCUUCUUACCACUACGUUCCUAAAGAAAGUUGGGUUAGUUGCAAUUUUUUAUACUUACGAAUUAAAUGAAUGAAAUACAAUAAAAAGAAAAUAUUAAGGAUGAAUAAAACCUUGGUGCAUCACCUGUUUGGAUGCACCAGGUGUAGGCAGUGAUUUUUCAUAAAACGAAAUCGUAAAGCGUUAAAGAAUAGGUAGUCAAAUUAAUUUAAAUUUUUAAAUAUUAGAUAAUUAAUUUCAAAUUAUAAAAGUUCAGAUUAAUUAAGUACAUUUUUAUACCCAAAAAUUAAACACAGCAACAACAACAACAACAUGACCACUGCAAAGAGGGGUCUUUCUUUCUCAUAAAGAACAGGGCAUCCCGUGCACCAAGAUACGAAUUUGGUUGAUCAAGAGAGAAAAUUUUGGCUCUCCAAUAGAUAGAACAAAAACUUGCUGCAUACAAUUGUGGAGCAAAGCCUUUUUUAAAAUAAAAAAGGUGAUAAAACCUUAAUUAGCAAGAGAUGUUUUAUGUACGAAAUUAUUUUUAUUUUUAUUUUUUAAGAGAUAGGUAGCACGCCACCUACUUCGUUUAUUUCAUUUAGAAAUAAACUUAGCUGAAAAUAUGAAUCAACUAGGAUUCGAACUUGGGUCUCGGGUACUAACCACUAAGCCCUUUGCCACUUGCUUUAGGAACGGUCGGUUAUGUACGAUAAAUUAACAAGUGCAUUUAUGUAUGGUAACUUGGUAACGGUUAUACCUUCCUACUUGUACUGUUUGGAUUCAUUAGUGAUAUUUGCAGUUUGUUAUGAAUGCAUUAAGCAGUGCAAUGUGUACGUAUGCUUCAAAAGCUAGGUGUUUCGCCAAAUAAUUAAUCGAAUGGUUUAAGCUAGGUGUGUUGCCCAAAGAUUCAAAUAAAUGGUUCAAGUUAGGGGUUUUUUAAAAAAAUUCUUGUUAAGUAUUGGAUGGAUCUUUGCUUCAAUCUGAGCAGUUUUGGAGUUAACAGCUUGUUUUGGAUACUCUCUAAUACUAUUUUUUGAAAUAGAGUUGUUACUGUUAAGUGUUAAAUAUAAAAAUGUUUAAAUACCGUUUUCUAACAAUUUAAGCUUUUAGAGUACAACGGUUAUUUCACAUGGUAUCAGAGCAGGAGGUUCUAAGUUCGAGUCACGCUAGGCUCCUAGCAUAUUAAUUUUCUUCCAUUUAAUUCAAGCCCACGUCAUGGGCCGAUUAAAAAGUUUUGAGCCCAGACGUGAGGGGGAGUGUUAAGUGUUAAAUAUAAAAAUGUUUAAACACCGUUCUCUAAGUACAACGGUUGUUUCACAGUUACUACAGUUACUCCUCUUGUUGAUGUACUGCAGUACUGGGUGAUGCUACUGGUGUCUUUGAAUGAUGAGUUUAGACCAAUAGCAGCUAAGUUAAAAAUUGAAACAGUUUCAAUCUUAAAACUUCUAAAUAAUAAUAGUAUUUAAGAUUGCUUUUAGUUUUAGCUCAGCAUCUAAAUUGUUCUCCAGCAAUCCAUACAUAUUUGCCUUUUGAUGUAGAAUCAUUGGGCAUACACUUCACAGUUUAAGAAAAGCUGCAUAAUAGAAAAGCUGCAAAAUCAUAAAUAGAAUGAGUGCAUAAAUAGAAGAGAAUUAAUUAAUAACAUUGAUGUCUAAAACAAAUUUCUCCUUCAUGAAGUUUUGAGUCAUCAUCCUACUUGCUUCAUUUCUCUCGCUGCCAUCAACAUGCAUCUUGGAUGCAUUAGGAUUUACUUAAAGUGACAACAAAAGUGAACAAAAACCAAAGCAAAAUAAAAAAGCAAAAUAAAGGAGUAGCAACAAAUAAAAACAAUAAACUCUGAAAGGCAUUAACAUAGAUUGAAGCCAAAUGCACAGCUAAACAAGUAGCGUGGGUCAGUCCAUAAAAAUCUCUAGAUGCUGCAUGUAGUCCUCUAAAUCUUGCAAUUUAUCUGAAAUAAAAAGAGAUGCAUCAUGUGCAGAAGUAUGUAACACUAAGGAUUGCAGAUGUAGGCGAUCUGAUCAUGAGCAACUACAAACUAUGGCUGGCACACAUUUAUUUAAUUAUAUUUUACUUGUUCACUAAGCGGAGAGCCAGCUCAGCCACCAUGAUCAUUGCUCUCUUUUACGAAGUGGGGCGUGUGAAAUUGCCCCACUCUACUUUUAUUUUUUUCACUUAUAUUUAUUUGUCUCAAUUAGAUCUCUAUAUUAAUAACAAUGUUAUUUUCUUUUUUGUUUUAAACCUAUGUUAAGACCAUCAAGAGUUGAGUAGCAGUUGAGAUCUAUGGCAAUGGUGACAACAAUGAAAAACAAAUGAGCUGUUGUCUCUAAUAAUAUAAUGAGAAUGCCAAUUUAAUUUUAAUUUGAAUCCGUAAAUUUAAAUUUUAAUUUGAAUCCAUAAAUUUAAUUUAAGUUUGAAAUAAAAUUUCAAUAAAAUNCAGUAAGUCUAUUGAUCUGUCGUAGAGAAAGAGUUGUUAUUUAAUUUAUGAAGAAAUAUAACUUCAAAAUAAGAAAUACGACUGGUGCAUUCAAAAGUAGAGUGUAAAUCUAAGAUUUAUCCUCAAUAUGAAAUUUGUUUAAAAUCUCAUCUUAGCAUCCUUUCAGUGUAAGGACUAGUUUACUGGAAUAGGCUUUGGCAUCCUACCUAAUUCCAUAUAACGUUUUGAUUCUGGUGGUCGCAGUAGGGUAAAUUUGAAUUUAUCAAAUCAACUUAUCAUGACACAUAACUUCUCUUUGCUUUUCCUUUUUUGUUUUUCCUUUUCUUUUUGGAUAAAAGCCUUCCCAUGCUUGUAUGCAAGAGAUUAUAACGGGAUUGCUUAUGAAUAUAAGAGAAGAUUGAUGUUUAUUUUUUGAAAUUUGUUGUUUGUCUGACGAUCCUGAUUAAAUAAUAUGAAGUACAUAUCUCUGUUUCUUACAUUUAUUUGAUCUUUAUAUACGUUUCAUUUUGGUCCUCAAACUUUCAAGUUCCGAGACUAUGAACUCUUAAAAUAUUUUGCACAUCUACCGUUAGAUGGUAAUUUAUUGCCUAAACCUAAUAUACGUGUACUACAUAUUUGUAUACUUAUUUAUCGACUCUGUACUGUUAUGUUAUUUCUACAUUGCCGCUUGUAGAUUUACAAUUUUUUUUUUUUAAUUUAGAAAUUAGAGUAUUGAAUUGAAAGUAUGAGAUGAGAGAUGGGUUGAUGAAUUUGUGGUGCACAAACAUGCCGGUAACAUUUUCCAAGGUAUCGCUGUUCAUUAUUUUGAGGAAUAAUAUAUUUUAUUAUGAGAUAAUUUAUCUUUCCGUGAAAAAAUUGAAUUUUAGGCUAAAUAUUUUAUCCAUUCUAGGAGUUUUCUUAUACUCCUCACAGUAUGAAAUAAUUGCACAAAGCUAGAGUUUCUAUUUUGCACAAACUUAAAUUAACCCCUCCUAUGAUUUACUGUAUUUUUUUAAUUCUGCAAUCGUGCGACUUAGAAGUUUUAUUUUGCUAUCCCAUAGUUUUGUCUUUGUUCUACCGUAACAAUUUGUCAUUAAAUAGAAUAGUAAUGUAAGAUUAUUGUAAAUUAUAAUAAUAAUAUGGUUUGUAAAUUAUAAUAAUUUAGUUACAUGUGGUUUAUAAGUUACACUAUUUUCGCAACUAAUUCAACUGAAGGGCCUUAUAGUGAUAAAAAAAAAAUUAAAAAUUUAAAAACAAGGGCAAUAUGUCAAAGCCAAAGUUUUUUUAACCACAUAUUGAAAAAGUGAAAAUAUGCUAAUUUAUAGGGGGCUAAUUAGAAGUUUAUUACAUCCUCUUUUAUAGCGCUAUUCCAUCCAAAGGCCUACAUUUUCACACUAAUUUUAUCAAUUUUUUCUUUGUUCAUAUUAAAAACUUAAAAGUAUUGUGUAAUUUUUUAAAUAUGUGAGUAUAAGAUUUACACUGCACUUUUGAGUGGGUAUAAUAUAUAAAAAGAAUAAAAGCUAAAUCUUAAAAUUCAUCCGUUGACUUAUCAUCCACAUUAUCAGUCAAAAUUUUUAUUUGGACAAGAGUGAUUUUUCAAUCUCUUUUUUUAUUACAUUUGUCACCUAAACAAUUUCAAUAGCAUUUGGAGGUACCAUCUGGAUUUAGGGUUGAGGGUUUGUUCGUAAACUUCGAUUGGCGAAAGUGGUAGCAACGUGCAUGUACUAAAUUGCAUAAGAGUAAAGUCGCAAAAACGUAAAGAGAAUCGGUUCACAAAUAGAAGACGAUUUUAAUUAAUAGCAUUGAUGUCUAAAAAAAAAUUUCUCCUUCAUAAAGUUUUGAGUCAUCAUCCUACUCGCUUUCUUCAUUAAUUACCAUCGCCGCCAUCAACAUGCAUCUUUGAUGCAUCAGGAUUUACCUGAAGUGAAAAGUCCUCCUUUAAGGGACCUUGCAAAAAAAAAAAAAAAAAAAAAAGAAGGUCCCCCUCCUCCUUAAACAUCUUCGUUGCGGUUUUAUUCGUUUCCUCCUUUCCAAGCACGAGAGAGGGGGAAAAAAAAAACCAACAAAGGGAGCUUGCUUCUCUGCCUCUUUAUCCGAAAAUAUUUUUAUAAAUUGUACAAUUGGGUAAAGAUUGAUCAUUGACCCAUGGGGUGUAUUUCACUAGUUACAUUGAUGUUAUUAGUAAAAUACACUUUAUUUUUAAAUAGAUGGGGUGUAUAUUCUAUACCCAAUGAAUGUAUAAGUAAGAGUUUUAAAAAAAAAACAAAAAAAAAGAGUAAAAAAAAAAAAGCAUUGGCGCGUGCGUUCCGGCCCCCACCAUAAUUAUUGGAGACACAGCACAAUAAUUGGAGCAAUCAUCUUCCACUGGUGGAGGAGCAUCCCCUUAUCAUCCUCUGCUUCUCUGUAGUAGGACGUUCGUAUUGAGAAGGAUUAGGCAGCAGCACGCGCGCGCGAUGGNAAAGCAUUGGCGCGUGCGUUCCGGCCCCCACCAUAAUUAUUGGAGACACAGCACAAUAAUUGGAGCAAUCAUCUUCCACUGGUGGAGGAGCAUCCCCUUAUCAUCCUCUGCUUCUCUGUAGUAGGACGUUCGUAUUGAGAAGGAUUAGGCAGCAGCACGCGCGAGCGAUGGCGGAGGGGAUCGCAUUCGACUUGGUCGAAGGAGUGCUGGGCAAGCUGGGCUCCGCUCUCUGGGACGAAAUCGGGCUGCUGCGGAGCUUCAAGGACGACGCGGACGACCUCAGAAGCAACUUCUCGGCGAUCCAGGCGGUGCUUCUCGACGCCGAGGAGCGAAGCAGCCCUGGGAAGGAGACCCACGCUCUGCGCGACUGGCUGCGCAAACUGAAGGACGCCGCCUACGACGCCGACGGCCUGCUGGACGAGAUCCGGACGCAAGCGGCCCUCCGGCAACAACAGCAUCCGGAGGUGCAGAAUCAAAACCAGCCAGCUGAAAAGGUACGUGAAUUCCUGUCCCACGCUAAUCCGAUGCGUCUGAAGUUUAAGGUCAAGAUGGCACACAGGAUGAAAGAGCUCAGAGAGAAGAUCGGUAAGAUCGCGAAACAGAGGCAUGAUUUCGGUCUUGCCGAAGCUGACCCUCUUCGACAGGCUGAGUUCAAGCGCCCUGAGACAUUCUCGGUUGUCGACGAAAAGACAAUAGUCGGGAGAGAUGGUGAUAAAGAGGAAAUUGUGAAGCUUCUCCUAGAGACUAACAGCGAUCACGACGUGUCGGUCAUUCCGAUCGUGGGAUUGGGGGGUUUGGGGAAGACGACGCUUGCUCAGCUGGCCUACAACGACGAGCGGGUUACGGACGAGUUGGUUAUGGGCCAGCAGCGAUUUGAUCUACGGGUGUGGGUCUGCGUGUCUACCGAUUUCCACAUGAAGAAGAUUGCAAAGCCGGUGAUAUCUGCAGCUGGAGAAAAUUGUGCUCUUGAUAACUCGGAUGCCGUCGCCAGUUGCCUUGUCAGGAUCUUUAGCCAGAAGAGAUUCUUGCUGGUGUUGGAUGAUGUGUGGAACGAAGAUAAAGGGAAGUGGAAGGAAUUGAAGGUUGUAUUUAAGGACGGCAGGCAGGGAAGUAAAAUCUUAGUAACCACACGAAGCGAAAAGGUCGCCGCGAUAAUGAAAACAGUCGAACCACACCGUGUGAAAGGCUUAUCAGAUGAUGAUUGUUGGACAUUGUUCAAAAGGCUGGCAUUCGAUGAGGGGGAAGAGAACGACUAUCCGAGUUUGGUCGCAAUCGGAAAGCAGAUAGUAAAGAAGUGCGGCGGCGUGCCUUUAGCAGCGAAUGCUUUAGGAAGUAUGAUGUAUUCAAAGAACAGGACAGAGGAUGCAUGGUCCGCUACUAGGGAUAACGAAAUUUGGAGUCUGCAAGAAGAGAAAACUAUUUUACCAUCAUUAAAGUUGAGCUACAUUCAGAUGCCGUCGGCUUUGAAGCAGUGCUUUGCUUACUGCUCCAUAUUCCCAAAAGACUACGAGAUUGACAAGGAUGACUUGAUCCGGCAAUGGAUUGCUUUAGGCUUCAUUUCAUCGCAUGAAACAUGGACUUCGAUGGAAGAUAUUGGGAAUGAGUACUUUAACAAUCUAUUAUGGAUGUCUUUCCUUCAGGACAAAGAAUAUAGAAAGGUUACCACCUGCCGGAUGCAUGAUUUAGUGCACGACCUCGCACAAUCUGUAGCAAGAGAAGAAGUUGCUGUUAUAGUUGGAGAAGAGUCAACAAGGAUCCCGGAAAGUUGCCGCUAUGUCUUGAUAUACAGUCGUUUCACGCCACAGGUUUCAAUUACCAUAAUGCGGAGGUUGCGAGCUCUUCAAUUUAGGGAAUCUGGCUCACUUAUUAUGGCUUUUUAUAGCGAGGCAAAAUGCUUACGCCUGUUGGAUUUACAUGGUUCCGAAAUUUCUAUGCUGCCAAGCUCAAUCGGUAAGUUGAAGCUCUUAAGAUACCUCAACCUUUCGUCAACCAAUGUACAAGAACUGCCUGAAUCAAUUACCAGCCUCUGCAACUUGCAAUCCUUGAAUCUUUCAGGCUGCCGUNAUUUACAUGGUUCCGAAAUUUCUAUGCUGCCAAGCUCAAUCGGUAAGUUGAAGCUCUUAAGAUACCUCAACCUUUCGUCAACCAAUGUACAAGAACUGCCUGAAUCAAUUACCAGCCUCUGCAACUUGCAAUCCUUGAAUCUUUCAGGCUGCCGUGAGAUCCGUACAUUACCCAAAUUUCUAGGAAGGCUUACGAAUUUGCGGAUUUUAGAUUUAAGCGAGUGCAGUUCUCUGACAAUACUUGACUCCAUUAGCAACCUUCAGAAUUUGUACACACUAGAUUUGAGUUGGUGCCAAAAGGUGAUAUCACUUGAACCUAUAUGUCACCUCAAAAACCUGCAUUACCUAGACCUAUCAAAUCUAGAAUCUUUGGUGGCAUUACCUGAAUCCAUUGGGAGCCUUCAAAAUUUGCGUAGUCUCAACCUUUCUAGCUGCUCUUCUCUAGAAUGGUUACCCUCAUCGUCAAGUGAUCUUCAGCAUUUAGAGAAACUCGACAUUAGUGGUUGUGGAAAAUUAUGUGAGCUGCCUAAAAUGAUCCAAAAGCUGACCAAACUUAGAGUCUUGUUAAACAACAAUUGCUCGGAAUUGAAGGGCAUGCCCCGAGGGAUCGGCAAGUUAGUUAGCUUGCAGGAAUUGUCCGUUUUUGUCGUCGGCAAGCAAGACCGCGUCGAACAUUGUGCCAGUAUCUGUGAGCUCGAGCACCUUAAGCUUGUUGGCGAGCUGGAGAUCAAGGGUCUUGAAAAUGUGACGAGUCCGGUUGAUGCCAAGGCUGCAAAUUUGAUAGAGAAGAAGCUGCGGUCUUUGAAGUUGGAAUGGAACGUUUUAAGUGCGGAAGAAGGCAUUGAUAGUACUGUACUACCGGCGGAAGAGAUCGAAACCGUGCUAGAAAAUCUUCAACCACAUCAAAAGCUAGAGAAUUUGGAAAUAGGAGGCUAUGGAGGCGGGAAGUUUUCUAGCUGGAUGAUGAACAGGAUUGGCUCGUGCCUGCCAAAUCUCGUUGGAAUCGAACUAGCGGAUAUGCCCGGAUGCAGCUCACUCCCGCAGCUGGGGCAACUUCCUUUUCUUGAACAACUGACUAUACAAAACAUGCCCGCGGUAACAAAUUUCAGCGUACAUAAGUUCCCUGCGCUGAAGACACUUGAGUUGUCCUCCAUGCCGGUGCUGCGAGAAUGGGUGACUGUGUUGACGAUGGAUGAUGAAGAAGGCAGGCGAGAGCGAGUUCCCAUUUUUCCGUGUCUCACUUAUUUGGGUCUAUAUGAAUGUCCUCAGUUGAGGCCGGAGCCUUGCCUCCCGCCAUCGGUUGAGCAUAUGGGCAUCUACAGAACAAGCAAGGAGAAUCUAUCGUUGAUACUCGAACGCGCGAUGCCAUUUGGAGGUGGUGAUGCCGCCGUUUCACCCCAACCGCCACCAGAUAAGGGGCUGCCGGGUCUAGGAAUAGUAGGAUGUCGGCAGCUAACUUGUUUGCCCGAGAGCUUGCGAAGUCUCACGUCUCUCCAGUCGCUGGGAAUAUAUGAUUGUGAAGAUCUCGAGAGAAUUGAAGAUUGGCUCGGGGAGCUCACCGAGCUGCGGUCCUUGUACAUCGAUGGGUGCAGCAGUCUCCAUUACUUGCCUGCGCACAAGAUGACCGCACUUCAGGAGUUAUGUAUUGGGAUUUGCCCGCUGUUGUUCGAUGCGGACGGACGAUUUGUCGACACUAGUGUCGAUCACAUAAAAAAUGUCGAAGUUGAUGGGAGGUAAUUACUUUGGAACUCUAACUACUCUUUAAUUAAUGAGCUAGCACCUUAAUAUUCUAUUGUAGCUAGCAUAAACAUCUGUUUUUUUUUUUUUUNAGCAGUUGAGAUCUAUGGCAAUGGUGACAACAAUGAAAAACAAAUGAGCUGUUGUCUCUAAUAAUAUAAUGAGAAUGCCAAUUUAAUUUUAAUUUAAAAUUAUAUAUUUAAUUUUUAAAUUUUAACUUAUAUUUUAAUUAAAAAAAGUUGAAAAAAUAAAUUUAAUCCGAAUAAAUAUAAUUCCGUACGGAUUCAACUUUUAAUCCGGCCUACUAGGCCGGAUUGAAAAAAGAGGUGAUUGGAGGAUUCUCAUUCCACUCGGGAAUCGGAAUCGGAAUGGGACUCCCACGUACCAAACACUCACAAACGGAUUUACUUAUUCCGAUUCCGAUUUCAAGGUAAAAAAGAAGCAAACCAAACACGCCCAAUAUAUUUAUCUUAUAUCAGCACAAACUUUUUACAAAAAAAUUUCAUUUGGUCGCUAAAAUUUAUAAUAUUUUAAUUUUUACUGUGUCAUAGUUAGAAACUUUUGUGUAAUUUUCAAAAAGUUGAGAGGGUCCAUGACCAUUGUCGGCCUCUCAAUAGCUCUUCCCCUGUUCUGGAUUCAGCAAAGCAUCCUGAGAGGGGAUUGAUACGAGUUUGCUAGAUUGUUAAAUAUAAAUAUAUAAAAAUAUCAUUCUUUACGAGAUUAAUUACUUUUUGAAAAAAAAAAUGAUUAUUUCGUAUUAUUUAACAUCGUAUCAAAGUAGAAAAUUCUGAGUUCGAGUCACGUCAGACUUCUAGCCUAAUUGAUUUUUUCUCUCAGUUAAUUUAAGUCCACAUCGAGCUCAAACGUGAGAAAAAAUAUUAAAUAUAAAAAUAUUAUUAUCUAUCACUUUAAAUUUUUUGAGAAAACGAUUGUUUCGUAUUGUUUAACAUAGAUUGGAGCCAAAUAUAUAGCUAAACAAGUGGCGUGGGUCAAUCCAUAAAAAUCUCUAUAGAUGAUGCUGUAGGUAAGUUCUCUAAAACUUGCAAUUUAUCUGAAACAAAAAGAGAUGAUGUAUCACGUUCAGAAGUAUGUAACAGUGAGGAUUGCAGCAGGCUGUAGGCGAUUUGGUUAUGAGCAACUACAAUUAAACUAUGGCUGGCAUACAUUUAUUUAAUUACAUUUUACAUGUGCACUUAUAGAUAGCAUGCUGUUGUAACUUCCACAUAUUUAUCUUUUUCCUGGAGUGUAGAAUUAUGCUGAGACUUGUGAUCUUUGCACUAUUUUAUAAAGUGCAGGUUUACGUCUGUUUCCAUUUCAAAAAAAUUAUAUAUUUCUUUUUGGUUAAAUUACAUAAAGUGACCUGCACUAUACUGGCGUAUGAAAUUACCCCCCUCCACCCAUCCCUCUGUCAACUUUUAUUUUCUCAUUUAUAUUUAUUUGUCUUAUUUAGACGGUAGACCCCUGUAUAUGUUAAUAACAAGGUUAUUUUACUGAUCGUUUCUAACGCAAGUAGCAAAAAAUUUAGUGGUUGAUAAUCAAGAUUCUAAAUUUGAAUCCUAGUUGAUUCAUAUCUCUAGCUAAGUUUAUUUCUAAAUGAAAUAAACGAAACAGUAGAAUAGCAGUUGAGAUCUAUGGCAAUGGUGACAGCGACGAAAAACAAAUAAGCUCUUGUCUCUAAUAAUAUAAUGAGAAUGUCAACAGAUACAAAAGAAAUCUAAGUUUUUUUAUUCUAGUUUAUGACCGAUUUUGAAAAAAGAUUCCAAUGGCAUCUCUAGUUUAUAAUUUUAUAUACAUUUGAGGUAAUUAGGUGUACUAAAAAUUUCUAUAUUUUUGGCUGACGGGAUCUAAUUUUUUUUAAAAAAUGAUAGUAUAAAGAGGUGUAAAUUAACUAAGAAAAUAAUUUUUUAUGGCAAUUAAGAAAAUCAAUGCUAAUUAGAAAAAGGCGGUUUUGAACUGUGGUGCAGUGCUGCAUAGAGAUGUCAACGGGUCGGAUUCGAGGCGGAUUUUUAAAAACCCGAACCUGAACCCGACUCCAAAUCCGAGACCCGAAUCCGAACCCGAAUCCAACGGAUUUUAAAAAUUCAUAUCCAAACCUGAACCCGACCAAAAAUCCGAAACCCGAACCCGAAUCCGAACCCGAACCCGAAAAUUUGAACCCAAAAUAAUAAAUUUUUUUUUCAAUAUUUCAAAAUAUAUUAUAUUAAAUCUAAAUUUUUAAAAUACAAAUUCAAAUAUAACAUCAAAUUUAUAUAUAUAUAUUAUAUAUAAUACAAAAUAAAUUCGGGUUCGGGUCGGAUUUGGGUUCGGAUUCGGGUUAGGUACAAUCAAAAUCCAUAUCCGAAUCCAUAUCCGUCGGAUUUCUAUUUUUUAUAUCCAUAUCCAUCGGAUAUAUCCGUUUCAUUCGGAUUCGGAUUCGGAUAAAAUUUCGGAUAUUCAUACCCAUUGACAUCCCUAGUGCUGCAGUGGUCCAACUCUCCAUACUUUUUUUUUUCUCUUUUUUGGGCAAUCAAAAUUUAUACAUAUCAAUUCUUCACAUAUAAUAGUAUCUUAGAAUAUUAUCGUGGGGUGAAAAUCAUUUUACUCAAUCUGAUCCCACUCUGAAGCCGAAGAUUGUCGGAUUUGGAGUGAAAUUUUACUAUCCAUUACGGAUUCAGAUUCAAAUCUGAAAUUUGAAUUUUUUUUUUGAGUUCAAAUUAAAGAUUCACUAUUUCUUUUUAAAUUCGAAUUCUAAAUUAUUGGAAACCAAAACUGAUUUUGACCGCUUUUUUAAUUUCUGAAGUAAUACCAUUUAAGCAUCUUUCAGAAAUCUCAAGCAUUCAUUGCGUUUUCUUCAGUUGGAUGAGAAAAUAAUAAUAAUAAUAAUAAUAAUAAUAAUAAGGGCGGCUCUCCUUUUCUGCCGCUUCAUUUUUUAAAAAUGGACACAGAAACGACAAGAUCCAAAGAGCAAAUUUGAAACUGAUAAUAUUUUUUAUAUUCUGCACAAUAGGAUAAGGACGAUUGAGGGACUAGCAUAUGCAAAAGAUCAAAGAUUCCCGGCGUAAUUAUCGAAGCAACAGCACAAUAAUUAAUUGGAGCGAUCACCUACUACCACUGCAGAGCAUCCCCCCUUAUUCUCUGCCUCCCUGCAGUAGGACGGUUGUAUUGAGAAGAAGCACAUAGCUGCUGUCGUAGGUAGCAGCACGCGCGAUGGCGGAGGGGAUUGCAUUCGAUCUGGUCAAAGGAGUGCUCGGCAAACUGGGCUCAACUCUCUGGGACGAAAUCGGACUGCUGCGGAGCUUCAAGAACGACGCGGACGAUCUCAGAAGCAACUUCUCGGCGAUCCAGGCGGUGCUUCUCGACGCCGAGGAGCGGAGCAGCGCUGGGAAGGAGAGCCACGCUCUGCGCGACUGGCUGCGCAAACUGAAGGACGCCGCCUACGACGCCGACGACCUGCUGGACGAGAUCCGGACGCAAGCGGCCCUCCGGCAACAGCAGUAUCCCGAGGUGCUGAAUCAACACCAGCCAGCUGGAAAGGUACGUGAAUUUCUGUCCCGGGCUAAUCCGAUGCAUCUGAAGUUUAAGCGCAAGAUGGCA